Long non-coding RNA from Salvia splendens (bonfire salvia), 314 nucleotides. RefSeq lists it as uncharacterized. The transcript has 2 exons. The record is from RefSeq and is a predicted model, not a curated record. NCBI's taxonomy places the organism in Eukaryota, Viridiplantae, Streptophyta, Magnoliopsida, Lamiales, Lamiaceae.
UUAAAUGUUUUCAAAAUCAUGAUGAGCUAUCCCAAAUUUCAUGCAAAGGAAUACGUAUGCUAUGCUGAUAUUAUUUUACUUCCUUGUCGGAGAAGAAGUAGUAUAAAGCGGAGAUGGCUUCUGACCUCCAAUCAUCACUCAAACUAUUUCAAACACUACAUACUAAAAGCCUCUUUCACGAGCAAGUUUCCAAGCAAGCACCAAAGUUUGGAAGCAUACGAGGUGAACUUUUCUAUCCUACAUACAAAUGUGUGGAUAAAAAUAUGAAGUAUAUUUGAGAUUAUUUAUUUAUGCAGAUGAUGUUGUCUUGCCAU